GUUGUACUCCUUCCGUUCCGAAUUACUUGUCUUGGAUUUGUCUAGAUACAUCCGUAUCUAGGUUCAUUUUAGUGCUAGAUACAUCCGUAUCUAGACAAAUCUAAGACAAGUAAUUCAGAACGAAGGGAGUAGUUG
This is a non-coding RNA of Triticum aestivum (bread wheat), 135 nucleotides long. Lineage: Eukaryota; Viridiplantae; Streptophyta; Magnoliopsida; Poales; Poaceae. The record is from Rfam.